RNAcentral lists this ribosomal RNA (331 nucleotides) under uncultured eukaryote. RNAcentral describes it as "partial 18S ribosomal RNA". It matches the Rfam family "Eukaryotic small subunit ribosomal RNA", at positions 1470 to 1796 of the family's 1831-position model. The record is from RNAcentral.
CCCUUAGAUGUUCUGGGCCGCACACGCGCUACACUGGCAGGUUCAUCGAGCUUCAUGCCCCGAUCUGAGAAGAACGGGAAAUCUUUGAACACCUGCCGUGCUUGGGAUAGAUGUUUGCAAUUAUUCAUCUUCAACGAGGAUUGCCUUGUAAGCGCACGUCAUCAGCGUGCAUUGAAUACGACCCUGUAUUCUGUACACACCGCCCGUCGCUCCUACCGAUUGAAGUUUUCGGUGAAUUUACUGGAGAUCCCUUUUGAAGGUGGUUCGCCACUGGAAGAAGUAUUCAAAAGUAAAUGAAUCGAAUGCUUUAGAGGAAGGAGAAGUCGUAACA